UAACCUGGUUGAUCCUGCCAGUAGCAUAUGCUUGUCUCAAAGACUAAGCCAUGCAUGUCUAAGUAUAAAUAGUAUACAGUGAAACUGCGAAUGGCUCAUUAAAACAGUUAUAGUUUAUUUGAUAAUGGAAAGCUAUAUGGAUAACCGUAGUAAUUCUAGAGCUAAUACACGCUAUCAAACCUGACUUUUUGAAAGGUUGUAUUUAUUAGAUAUCAAACCAAUAUUCUUUCGGGAAUAUUGUGGUGAUUCAUAGUAACUGAUCGAAUCUCCCUUUGGAGAUAAAUCAUUCAAGUUUCUGCUCUAUCAGCUUUCGAUGGUAGGGUAUUGGCCUACCAUGGCUCUAACGGGUAACGGAGAAUUAGGGUUCGAUUCCGGAGAGGGAGCCUUAAAAACGGCUACCACAUCUAAGGAAGGCAGCAGGCGCGUAAAUUACCCAAUCCUGAUUCAGGGAGGUAGUGACAAGAAAUAACAACUCGGGGAACUCAAGUUCUUACGGGAUUGCAAUGAGAAGACCGAAUUUAAACACUUUUUCGAGGAACAAUUGGAGGGAAAGUCUGGUGCCAGCAGCCGCGGUAAUUCCAGCUCCAAUAGCGUAUAUUAAAGUUGUUGCAGUUAAAAAGCUCGUAGUUGAACUUCUGACAGCGAGUAAGUUUGGCUUCGGCCAGCUUGCCUGUUGUCAUCCGUCUGCAAACCUUGAGCGUCCUUUAGUGCGUCGGCAAGGGGAGUAGACAUUUUACUUUGAAAAAAUUAGAGUGUUUCAAGCAGGUAUUUGCCUGAAUACUUUAGCAUGGAAUAAUGGAAUACGACUCUCGUCUAUUUUAAUUGGUUAUUAGACUUGAGUAAUGAUUAAUAGGGACAGUUGAAGACAUUAGUACUUAAUUGUCAGAGGUGAAAUUCGUGGAUUUAUUAAAGACUAACUAAUGCGAAAGCAUUUGCCAAGGAUGUUUUCAUUAAUCAAGAACGAAAGUUCGAGGAUAGACAGCGAUCAGACACCACUUUAUUUCGAACUAUAAACUAUACCGAUUUGAGAUUGCCAGUUUUUUCUGAAAAAUUGGCAGCAUCACAUGAGAAAUCCAAAUCUUUGGGUUCUGGGGGGAGUAUGGUCGCAAGACUGAAACUUAAAGGAAUUGACGGAACGACACCACCAGGUGUGGAGCCUGCGGCUUAAUUUGACUCAACACGGGAAAACUUACCAGAUCAAAACAUGAGUGGGAUUGACAGAUUGAGAGCUCUUUCUUGAUUGUAUGGGUGGUGGUGCAUGGCCGUUCUUAGUUGGUGGAGUGAUUUGUCUGGUUAAUUCCGUUAACGAACGAGACCUUAACCUGCUAACUAGUCCUCUUGUCCCAAACAGGAGGUACUUCUUAGAGGGACUAUGGGACCCAAGCCCAUGGAAGUUUGAGGCAAUAACAGGUCUGUGAUGCCCCUAGAUGUUCUGGGCCGCACGCGUUCUACAAUGACUUGUGCAGCAAGUCCUACCCUGGCUCGGAAGAGUUCGGGUAAUCUUUGUAAUGCAAGUCGUAUUAGGGAUAGAUCUUUGGAAUUAUAGAUCUUGAACGAGGAAUACCUAGUAAGUGCAAGUCUUCAGCUUGUACUGAUUACGUCCCUGCCGUUUGUACACACCGCCCGUCGCUCCUACCGAUUCCGAGUGAUGUGGUAAACAUUCUGGACUGAAGUGGUCCUUGAGACCGAUUUCGGGAAGUAACGUAAACCUUAUCACUUAGAGGAAGGAGAAGUCGUAACAAGGUUUCCGUAGGUGAACCUGCAGAAGGAUCAA
This 1774-nucleotide ribosomal RNA is filed under the name uncultured marine eukaryote. RNAcentral's name for it is "SSU rRNA". It matches the Rfam family "Eukaryotic small subunit ribosomal RNA". The record is from RNAcentral.